CCUACGGGUGGCAGCAGUGGGGAAUAUUGGGCAAUGGGCGCAAGCCUGACCCAGCAACGCCGCGUGAAGGAAGAAGGCCCUCGGGUUUUAAACUUCUUUUAUUCGGGACGAAACACAUGACGGUCCCGCAUUACUAAGCGACGGCUAACUACGUGCCAGCAGCCGCGGUAAGACGGCGGGGGCAAGCGUUAUGCGGAUUUAUUGGGUGUAAAGGUCGUGUAGGCGGGAGAGUAAGUCAGUCGUGAACUUCCAGGGCUCAACCCUGGAACUGCAUUUGAAACUGUUAGUCUUGAGUGAUGGAGAGGCAGGCGGAAUUCGGGGUGUAGCGGUGAAAUGCGUAGAUAUAAGGAAGAACACCAGUGGCGAAGGCAGCCUGCUGAACAGCAACUGACGCUGAGGCGCGAAAGCGUGGGGAGCAAACAGGAUUAGAUACCCCGGUAGUC
Molecule: ribosomal RNA, 443 nt
Filed under: uncultured bacterium
Lineage: Bacteria
Description: partial 16S ribosomal RNA
Rfam family: Bacterial small subunit ribosomal RNA
Source: RNAcentral